GAUGAACGCUAGCUACAGGCUUAACACAUGCAAGUCGAGGGGAAACGAUAGAGAAAGCUUGCUUUUCUAGGCGUCGACCGGCGCACGGGUGAGUAACGCGUAUCCAACCUGCCCAUCACUUGGGAAUAACCUUGCGAAAGUAAGACUAAUGCCCAAUGACAUUUAUAGAAGGCAUCUGAAAUGAAUUAAAGAUUUAUCGGUGAUGGAUGGGGAUGCGUCUGAUUAGCUUGUUGGCGGGGUAACGGCCCACCAAGGCGACGAUCAGUAGGGGUUCUGAGAGGAAGGUCCCCCACAUUGGAACUGAGACACGGUCCAAACUCCUACGGGAGGCAGCAGUGAGGAAUAUUGGUCAAUGGACGGGAGUCUGAACCAGCCAAGUAGCGUGCAGGACGACGGCCCUAUGGGUUGUAAACUGCUUUUAUAGGGGGAUAAAGUGAGCCACGUGUGGCUUUUUGCAUGUACCCUAUGAAUAAGGACCGGCUAAUUCCGUG
This 491-nucleotide ribosomal RNA is filed under the name uncultured bacterium. RNAcentral describes it as "bacterial SSU rRNA". It matches the Rfam family "Bacterial small subunit ribosomal RNA", at positions 28 to 507 of the family's 1533-position model. The record is from RNAcentral.